This 2371-nucleotide long non-coding RNA is filed under the name Equus caballus (horse). RNAcentral describes it as "lncRNA (ENSECAG00000059128.1)". Lineage: Eukaryota; Metazoa; Chordata; Mammalia; Perissodactyla; Equidae. The record is from RNAcentral.
UUUUUCUCCAAUUUCUUUCACUAAUGCCUUAUAGUUUUUAAUAUACAGAUCUUUCACUGCAUUAGUUAAAUUUAUUCCUAGGUAUCUUAUUCUUUUUGAUGAAAUUGUCAAUGGGAUUGUUUUCUUUAUUUCUCUGAUAUAUUGUUUGUUAUUAGUGUAUAGAAAUACAACAGGUUUUUGCAUAUUGAUUUUGUAUCCUACAACUUUACUGAAUUUGUUUACUAGUUCUAACAGUUUUUUGAGAGAGUCUUUAGGGUUUUCUGUAUAUAAUAUGUCAUCUGCAAAUAGUGACAGUUUUACUUCUUUCUUUCCGAUUUGGAUGUCUUUUAUUUAUUUUUCUUGCCUAAUUGCUUCUGGCUAGGACUUCCAACACUGUGUUGAACAAAAGUGGCAAGAGUUCUAAGUGAUUUAUAACUAAGUAAUUUUUUACAACUACUAGGCUAGAACUGAAAGUUAAGAGAAUGCAAUAUCAACUUAAUUAUCAAGUGCCUGAAUGUAAUUACCAUUAGGCAGUCUCCCUAGGUGCUGAUGAAUUUAUCAGAUCCCAGGGAAGUGGCUUUCCAUGGUGGGUACUGUGGUUUGUCCAUCCAAUGACUUCUCUUUUUAGAACAACCCCUCCUCCACUCCACGUUGUCCUGGUGGGGUUGUUCACCAUGAGGCCCACCCAAACCCCCAUCAUAGCAGGAAGGUGAUGCAACCUGGCCAACCAAUGAACUCCAUCUCCCUGGCAGGGGUCGUUUCAAUAGGUUCGAUUAGAAUCUUUCCUGGGUUUUGCUAUAUGGACUGUGGGAAAAAGAGUGGCUUUCUCUUCCUUUUGGAACAAGUUUGGCACUCCCACCCACUAGCCAGGAGUGAUCUUUCCCGUCAUACAGUCAAAACAUGCCUGAGAGUGAAGCCAACAUUUAAGUGAAACAGAGCCAAGAGAAGCAGAGAGAGAGACAGAGGCCCAACAACGUUGCUGGAGCCCCUGGAACAAGUCACACCUAAAACUCAUCAUGUAUACCCCCUACCCCAUACUUAGUUUCAUGAGCAAAUAUAUUACCUUUUCCACUUAUGCUACUUCAGUUUCUGUCACCUCGAAUCAAGAGAGUCUAAUUAAUGUACUCAUUGAAUGAAACAUUUUCCAGAAUAUUCAUUGACUCUCAGAAGACUUGCAUUCUUCCCAUCUACAUGGCUAGCUUAAAAAAUAUUUUGACCAAAAUGCUUGGAAGAAAAUCUACACAAAGACAGGGUUACAGUCUUUCUGUAGGUUGGUAGGAUUAUUUUCCCUUUAACUUAAAAUCAUCCUGAUGGCGGCAUAACUUUGUAUCUCCUUAUACAGAGAGAUUUUUUUUUAUUAUGAAUGAUAGAUAACACUGUGGAAGCUCAUUAAUAUUAAACAGCAAUACCAAAUUUAAAAACUUCCAGUAGAUUGUUAUUUAAAAAUCAUUCAAACACUGGCAAAAAGAAUAUCGCCUUUGCAAUGUCUUCAAAUUCAUUUCUGAAAAUGUGUAACAAAUGCCUUCAGCAGCAGGAACAGCUCCUUCCCACUCUCUGAAGUUUUGUACUCAGAAAGCAAUUCCCAGGGGAUCUCACAAUCAUUCUAACACAGAGCAACUAGGACUCCCAGAAAGCAAGUCCAAAAAUUGAAUUAGACUUCGAUUCCAUUAAAUUGUACCUCGAAAGGGACUGAUCCCUGGGAUGCAUAACUGAGGGAUUUACCAAUUUAACCCUCUUUGCAACUGUUUGUGCACGUUGUGAAAAUAUUUCCUUUAUGUGUUAUUAGAAAUGUGACAUCUGCUUAUGGUGACAAUAAAUGAACAACACAGAAGCUUAUGAAAUAGAAAAUAAAACUCUCUACCCCUCAUUUGAUCCCCACUCCCCAGCGAUAACCACUGGAUUAAUAUCGACUUCCUCAAGCACCAUUGUGAGUUGAAUCAUGCAGAUGCUGGUCACAUACAACAGAAAACUUCUGUUCGGAAGGGAUUUCUGAUUUAACAAAUGUAAAGGAGUUCUAAAAACCAGAGAAAAUGCAAUUACUACAUCAACAUGAUCUAUAUAACAAUAGCUAAAAAUCAUACGUCAGAAAGAAAGAAUAUAGGGUGAUUUUAAGCUAGGCGCAUCGGAGGGGUGAACUCGGUGAGGAAGACCUAGGAGAAAAAAUGAAAAAGCACAGUUUAGUGCAAUUGUCACUCCCAUUGUAAAAGUGACCCAAAUUGUGCCUUGAACGCGAGCAGAAACAUGCAAAGUAAAUGAGGGGACACACAAGCCCUCCAGGCAGUGAAGCUGGCUCCUGAGUUAGAAAACCCUCAUGAAGUGGUGGCAGCAGGGGGACAAUUUGCUGAAACAUCUGCUGAAGGAAGAGGUUCCAGCUCAUUGGAACUUCAGUGAC